AUACGUAGGGGGCGAGCGUUGUCCGGAAUGAUUGGGCGUAAAGGGCGCGUAGGCGGCGCGGUAAGUCUGGAGUGAAAGUCCUGCUUUCAAGGCGGGAAUUGCUUUGGAUACUGCCGCGCUUGAGUGCAGGAGAGGUUAUCGGAAUUCCCGGUGUAGCGGUGAAAUGCGUAGAGAUCGGGAGGAACACCAGUGGCGAAGGCGGGUAACUGGACUGCAACUGACGCUGAGGCGCGAAAGUGUGGGGAGCAAACAGGAUUAGAUACCCUGGUAGUCCACACCGUAAACGAUGAAUGCUAGGUGUAAGAGGUAUCGACCCCUUUUGUGCCGGAGUCAACACAAUAAGCAUUCCGCCUGGGGAGUACGGCCGCAAGGUUGAAACUCAAAGGAAUUGACGGGG
Molecule: ribosomal RNA, 397 nt
Filed under: uncultured bacterium
Lineage: Bacteria
Description: partial 16S ribosomal RNA
Rfam family: Bacterial small subunit ribosomal RNA
Source: RNAcentral